Molecule: small RNA, 77 nt
Filed under: unclassified sequences
Description: Streptococcus sRNA SpF59 (ldcC RNA)
Rfam family: Streptococcus sRNA SpF59 (ldcC RNA)
Source: Rfam by way of RNAcentral
UGACCACUGUUUCACAGUUUCCGCUUUUUGGGCGGUGGAGCAGGCAAGGCCAUGCGGACAGCCGGGUCAAAUGCCGA